GAUGAACGCUAGCUACAGGCUUAACACAUGCAAGUCGAGGGGAAGCGGCAUUAAGUGCUUGCACUUUUUGGACGUCGACCGGCGCAUGGGUGAGUAACGCGUAUCCAACCUUCCCAUGACUAAGGGAUAACCUGCCGAAAGGCAGACUAAUACCUUAUGGUCUUCACUGACGGCAUCAGAUGUGUAGUAAAGAUUUAUCGGUUAUGGAUGGGGAUGCGUCUGAUUAGCUUGUUGGCGGGGUAACGGCCCACCAAGGCAACGAUCAGUAGGGGUUCUGAGAGGAAGGUCCCCCACAUUGGAACUGAGACACGGUCCAAACUCCUACGGGAGGGAGCAGUGAGGAAUAUAGGUCAAGGGGCGAGAGCCUGAACCAGCCAAGUAGCGUGCAGGAUGGCGGCGCUAGGGGUUGUAAACUGCUUUUGUAUGGGGAUAAAGUCAAUCACGUGUGAUUGUUUGCAGGUACCAUACGAAUAAGGACCGGCUAAUUCCGUG
Molecule: ribosomal RNA, 492 nt
Filed under: uncultured bacterium
Lineage: Bacteria
Description: partial 16S ribosomal RNA
Rfam family: Bacterial small subunit ribosomal RNA
Source: RNAcentral